CCGGUCCUUCUUCUGUAAACAAAGCUUCCUUCACAUCAACACUCGAUUCAUUAUUCAAACUCAGAAAUGCCAACAAAAGGUUAUAUGUUUGGAAAGAAAAAACGUUACUGUAAGCCCAGAGGAAGACAUGCUUCAAAGACAAAUGCAUAAUUACAAAGCUCUGUUUUGGAUACAGCUGGAUCUGAAUCAGCAACAACGUAGCCUGCAAGUGCAGCUGAAUGAAAAAUAAUUCUAACUGCAAUUACUAACGCUGAUAACACCAAUAAGAGGCUGCCUGAAGAUUUCAUAUACGUCAUGAUGAAUUCAAUGGAAUUGACCACAGUAUAUAAUAUUUUCCAGCACAGGCAUUCGCCGUCUACGGAAAGAGGCGACUGAACGUCGAUUGACAUUUGUGAGAUAUAUCAUUAGUGUCAAUGUGUAAUGCUGAGUUCUUGCUUCCUGAAGUACUCUAGACACGUGACAAGACGAAUAUUAUAAACUAACUGAAGCUCGUUUCAGCAGACAAACAUGAAGUUUAUUUUACUACAAUAAUAAUGAACUGCACUCCUUGUUAUUGCUACAAGUCAAGAAAUAAUAAACAAUCCUAUCCGCAUAGCAGCGGUAUCAAAUGUAUCAAUCACGUCCGCAUCUCAGCGGGUAACAAUAAGAACAAUUACUACUAGCGACACUGGAGCUUCAACUAUAGAUAUCCAUUGAAAUACGAAUACCUUAAUAUUCAAUAAGCGCAUAAUGAAAUCAACUCUCAAAUAAUAUUAAUCAACAAUCAUUAGUCCAUCGACUUUCAUCCUAUAUACAUAUAUAUACACCAGUCCAGGAAGCAACGUCCAACCUUCCUGGACCGGGAGCAAAACCUUACUGACUUGACUUGACUGAACUCAAAGUCAACUUUAUUCAUUCUACUUCCUGUUUUCUACAUCAGGAAUUCCACGUGUCUUUUAAACUCUUAACAUGACGUGAACUUUAGAUCAUGCAAUAUCAACUAAGACUGUGACAAUUAGACAAGACGAAACAUGUUUACUUAAGUCAUCCUUAACACGAAAGCCGAAAAGAGGAGCGCAAAAACAUGCCGUCAACGUUUAAUCAUGGUGUCACACCGAUUCAAGAGGAAAGUGUAACGGACUUAGGUUAGUUCUUUGAGGGGCUAUUUAAAUGCCCCAAUUGUAUAUUGUCAAGAGAGGGGUAUGUGAAAAGUGAAAUUGUGUGUGUGUGUUUGUUUAUUUUAUUAGUUGAGUUGUACAUUGUUUUUAGCACGGGGUUUUUCAAAGGGGGGGGGGGGAGGGGACAAUAAGGUUUCCUGUGGUCCGUCUAGUCAGAAAGCUGACCUUGUCUAAGUAGGGUGUUGGUGAUUGUUUUUCGGUUAUUAUGCCUAGAGUAAGGAGAUGUUAUAUUAUUAUUCUUGCUAUGUGCGUACUGAAUAUUUGGGGUAAUGCUAUGAUGUGUCAUGAUACCCUUAUGUAAUAUAUUAUAUUAUAGGCCUAUAUUAUAUUGUUUGCAGUAAAUAAAUACUAAUUUUCUA
Molecule: long non-coding RNA, 1516 nt
Organism: Biomphalaria glabrata
Lineage: Eukaryota; Metazoa; Mollusca; Gastropoda; Planorbidae
Exons: 2
Source: RefSeq, a predicted model, not a curated record